RNAcentral lists this long non-coding RNA (533 nucleotides) under Ananas comosus (pineapple). RNAcentral's name for it is "long non-coding RNA (ACOM_LNC018263)". The record is from RNAcentral. Lineage: Eukaryota; Viridiplantae; Streptophyta; Magnoliopsida; Poales; Bromeliaceae.
AAAUUACAAAUUUUGAAACUCUUUGAUCAUUAGGUUAAUGGUGUCGAAAAAAUUUGAAAUUUGGUUUCUAAAUAGUUCAAGUGGUAUAGAUCAUGUUCAACGGUGCCGAUCGUCGAUUUGAAGGCUCCAUCAUCGAAAACAAAUGGGUGGCAACGGAGUCCGUUUGCACCGUUGAACGUGAUCUAUACCACUUGAACUAUCUAGAAACCAAAUUUCAAAUUUUUUCGACAUUGUUCUCUUAUCCAUCGAGUGGACACAAAAAUGAACGGCUGAAAAUAAAUAUUCUUUAAAAAAUGAUGAUAGGAGUCUUGUAAUCAAGAUCAAGAGUAUAGAUUUUAUUUUAAAUAGUUUAAAGAAUUUUCUAACAAAAGUUCAAUUGAUUUGGAUAUCUUUACACCGUUAAAUGAGAAAACGUUUCAUAUCGACCAUUAAAAUUACAAAUUUUGAAACCCUUUGAUCAUUAGGCAAAUGAUGUCGAAAAGAUUUGAAAUUUGAUUUUUAAACACUUCAAGUGGUAUAGAUCAUGUUCAACA